Molecule: ribosomal RNA, 333 nt
Filed under: Triticum aestivum (bread wheat)
Lineage: Eukaryota; Viridiplantae; Streptophyta; Magnoliopsida; Poales; Poaceae
Description: partial small subunit ribosomal RNA
Source: RNAcentral
AUGUUCCGCAAUCGCCUCCCUACCCCGGUCAACAUUGCCAAGCGCAAUGGACUUUCCGAGGGCCAAUGUCUUGUGUGUUCGGUACAGGAGGAUGGCAACCACACAUUCUUUCGCUGUUAUUUAGCUAAAUUUGCUUGGAUUGCUGUUAGGGAGGCCGUGGGGGUUAGCUGGAACCCUGCUUCUUGUGCCGAUUUGCUUACUUGCUUAUCUUAUGUGCAUGAUUCUUCUAAACUUGUGAUGUGGAGCUGUGUUGGGGCAUUGCUCUGGUCACUUCGGCAUAUCCAUAACAAGAUAACGAUCGCGGGGGUGUUUCCGUCGUACCCAGCUGACUGA